Nicotiana tabacum (common tobacco) is the source of this 898-nucleotide non-coding RNA. Lineage: Eukaryota; Viridiplantae; Streptophyta; Magnoliopsida; Solanales; Solanaceae. The record is from RefSeq and is a predicted model, not a curated record.
UUUCAUUUUCAGUUUUACAAUUUGAUCUCUUUCGUGGAUGGGCAUAAGAUCUCAUGUAGAUGUCAUUCUUCUCUUUAUGACAGUCAAUGCUGGUUUUCUUCAACCCGAUCAAGUUUGGAAUAACAUUUUCCUUUGGUAAUUUGCUUGCACUUGGAAGCACAGCGUUUCUUAUAGGGCCUAAACGACAAGUGACAAUGAUGCUUGACCCAGUUCGCUUAUAUGCAACUGCCAUUUAUCUAGCAAGCAUUAUCAUUGCUCUGUUUUCUGCUCUAUAUGUGCGGAACAAACUACUUACACUCUUGGCAAUUGUAUUGGAGUUUGGUGCACUUAUUUGGUAUGUCAGACUGUAGUCACACGCUGGUUCAGUCUUAUAAACACGGAUUGGGGGAUGGUGACAUAAGAAGAUAAGUUACUCUGUGGUUGGGAUAGGUGAAAUUAAGUACAACCAGGCUCAGCAGCAAACUCUCCUUUUAAAUUCUGGUAUAGCUUGAGCUAUGUUCCUUUUGCAAGGUCCAUGGUCUCAAAAGUGAUGAUGGCUUGCUUUGACACAGAAUUCUAGGGUUAUAGCUUGAGGAAAGGAUUAUAAUUGCAAAUAUGUACAGUAUGCAUUUAGCAAGUUCGCACCUCUAGGUGUUCUAAUCCAUAGAAUGGGUUAGGUGAGUGCACCUCGGUCAAAUGGAGAUACUUGGAGUGAAUGAACUGUUCGUUGAUGAACUAACUUCUGAUCCUUUCUAACACCUAAAUUUUUCUUCCUUAAGCCGAGGGUUUAUCGGAAACAGCCUCUCUAUCUCUAUGAGGUAGGGGUAAGGUCUGCGUACACACUACCCUCCCCAAACCUCAUUUAUGGAAUCAAAUUGGGUUUGUUGUUGUUGCAAGUAAAUGGAGAUUAUUGAGUUCA